GGAUGUGAGUGUGAACUGCUGCAACAUUUGUCACCCUGCUGAUCUCGAGGGGUGAUGGGGUUGAUUGGGCAGACUAAGGCAGUGUCCCCUACCUCACUGAUGGUCCAUGCUGUCACUGCUGAGUCUGCACACUCGGUAGAGAAGGACCAAAGAUGCAAAGGCAUUGGAUAUUGUAAUACAGCAGUGCAAUUCCCAAGAGUGAGUCCAUCAACAAACAAAUGGGUGAAAAAAAAAAGUGAUACAUGCAUAUGUAU
This 254-nucleotide small RNA is filed under the name Cavia porcellus (domestic guinea pig). Its description in RNAcentral is "7SK RNA (ENSCPOG00000029507.2)". The stretch from base 1 to 219 matches the Rfam family "7SK RNA". From Rfam's summary of the family: 7SK was discovered as an abundant small nuclear RNA in the mid-70s but a possible function has only recently been suggested. Two independent studies have found that 7SK RNA binds the CDK9/cyclin T complex (known as elongation factor P-TEFb). P-TEFb activates transcription by phosphorylating the C-terminal domain of RNA polymerase II. Lineage: Eukaryota; Metazoa; Chordata; Mammalia; Rodentia; Caviidae. The record is from RNAcentral.